AUUAAACGCUGGCGGCAUGCCUUACACAUGCAAGUCGAACGGCAGCACGGGGGCAACCCUGGUGGCGAGUGGCGAACGGGUGAGUAAAGCAUCGGAACGUGCCCUGGAGUGGGGGAUAACGUAGCGAAAGUUACGCUAAUACCGCAUAUUCUGUGAGCAGGAAAGCAGGGGAUCGCAAGACCUUGCGCUCUGGGAGCGGCCGAUGUCGGAUUAGCUAGUUGGUGGGGUAAAGGCCUACCAAGGCGACGAUCCGUAGCGGGUCUGAGAGGAUGAUCCGCCACACUGGGACUGAGACACGGCCCAGACUCCUACGGGAGGCAGCAGUGGGGAAUUUUGGACAAUGGGCGAAAGCCUGAUCCAGCCAUGCCGCGUGAGUGAAGAAGGCCUGGUUGUAAGACGUCUUCGUGGGAGAAGUGCAUAGGCGUAAUAACCUCGUGUAGAUGACGGUACC
This 451-nucleotide ribosomal RNA is filed under the name uncultured bacterium. RNAcentral describes it as "bacterial SSU rRNA". It matches the Rfam family "Bacterial small subunit ribosomal RNA", at positions 29 to 479 of the family's 1533-position model. The record is from RNAcentral.